RNAcentral lists this ribosomal RNA (292 nucleotides) under uncultured bacterium. RNAcentral's name for it is "partial 16S ribosomal RNA". It matches the Rfam family "Bacterial small subunit ribosomal RNA", at positions 505 to 796 of the family's 1533-position model. The record is from RNAcentral.
GUGCCAGCCGCCGCGGUAAUACGUAGGUGGCAAGCGUUGUCCGGAUUUAUUGGGUUUAAAGGGUGCGUAGGCGGCUUAAUAAGUCAGUGGUGAAAGCCGAUCGCUUAACGAUCGAACUGCCAUUGAUACUGCUAGGCUUGAGUAUAGUUGAGGUAGGCGGAAUUGACAGUGUAGCGGUGAAAUGCAUAGAUAUUGUCAAGAACACCAAUUGCGAAGGCAGCUUACUAAAGUAUAACUGACGCUGAGGCACGAAAGUGCGGGGAUCAAACAGGAUUAGAAACCCUCGUAGUCC